GAUGAACGCUAGCGGCAGGCUUAAUACAUGCAAGUCGAGGGGCAACAGGGGUAGCAAUACCUGCUGGCGACCGGCAAACGGGUGCGGAACACGUACAGGACCUUCCUUUAAGCGGGGGAUAGCCCAGAGAAAUUUGGAUUAAUACCCCGUAAUAUUAUGAAGUGGCAUCAUUUUAUAAUUAUAGCUCCGGCGCUUGAAGAUGGGUGUGCGGCUGAUUAGGUAGUUGGCGGGGUAACGGCCCACCAAGCCUACGAUCAGUAACUGGUGUGAGAGCACGACCAGUCACACGGGCACUGAGACACGGGGCCCGACUCCUACGGGAGGCAGCAGUAAGGAAUAUUGGUCAAUGGACGCAAGUCUGAACCAGCCAUGCCGCGUGAAGGAUGAAGGCGUUCUGCGUUGUAAACUUCUUUUANCUGGGAAGAAACCUGAGUUUUCUAAUUCAGCCGACGUACCAGAGGAAUAAGCACCGGCUAACUCCGUGCCAGCAGCCGCCGCGGUAAG
Molecule: ribosomal RNA, 504 nt
Filed under: uncultured bacterium
Lineage: Bacteria
Description: bacterial SSU rRNA
Rfam family: Bacterial small subunit ribosomal RNA
Source: RNAcentral